GAAAUAAUUAGUAGCUAUUUACGGCUCAUAGUUUCAAAUUAAGGUUAAAUCACUCUGACAGUAUUGCUAAUAUAUAUAAACAAUAUUUUAUAUUUUAGAAGGCUUAGAAGUCAAAUUGUCCAGAAGGAAGGACUGCAAACUUUUCAAGAACAUAAUUCUGGGAAUGAAUAAGGAAGCUGUUGGUAAAAUGGGAUCUUUUGGAGCAUUGUACAACAUGAAGAAAACAACACAAUAUGGAACAACUUCGUAGAACAGCCUGAUCUUGACACUAUAAUGUUCCAGUUCUGUAAAAUCAUCCAUCUUCUGCUGAGAGCACCAUCAAACCACUAGCGAAUGCCACAUUAGUCACUGAAGUUAAUACUGGCAGCUUUUGACUUCAGUUUUUUUGCAUACAUAAAAGAAG
This is a long non-coding RNA of Mus spicilegus (steppe mouse), 403 nucleotides long. The record is from Ensembl. Lineage: Eukaryota; Metazoa; Chordata; Mammalia; Rodentia; Muridae.